CGCGGGAGCGGGAGGUGCCGUUGACUUGGCAACACCGCUCCUCCUGCCUAUUAUAUUUUUCGAUCGUCAUUUGGGUGACACAAAUUUUAGUCCGCGAGCGAUCAGACUCGGAGGUGUGAUGGGGAAUUUGUGCUCUUGCUGCAAAAAACAGGGAAAGGACCCGCCCAAAGAUGGGAAGGGGGAGGACAAAUCAUCAAACGAGAAGAAACCUGAUGGCAUGGAGAUCCCGAGCAUAGCCGACGAGGAGCUGCAGUACAUCGACGAGGAGCCGCCGAACGAGAGCAAGAAGCAACCCGAGUAAUGCACCGAGCAGGUCAUCCCCGACGCCAUCACACUCUCCUCCAUGUGUAAUUACUACGCCAUUAUGGACUGCACGCCUGCAACUGUGAAGAAAGCAUUGGACGUCGAUGAACGCCUGCCAGAAUUUGUGUCGCCCGGUGCUUGGGACUCGAGGUGAUGCAGCCACGACUAGGCGCAGCUGUCAAAUUCAGCCACGGUGCUUUCACGACUCACCCCGACACCCACUCAUCCAUCUCUCAUUCAUCCAUUCGCUUCAACCUGUUUGUCGAUACAAUGUUGUCUGCGAGCCAGACAAAGCACGCAGCUAUAUGCAUGUACCAAGCUAAUUGUCCUAUAUUUUACAACAACUACGUGUACAACUAUUAUACAUAUAUAAUUUUUAAACUCGCGCGCGGUGUUUUAAUACUCGUCUCUUCGUCUCGCCUCAAGACUAACUGCAUUUAUUUUUAAACACACACAAGUCUCACCUACAACCUACAAGCAAUAAAGAAUAAAUUCGUAUUUGCUUCUAUCAAAACGGACAAUUUGUGGACCUGGUUCAAGAAAAAUCCUUAUUGCCAAGCACCUGCCUUCGAUUUAGCAGCAGAUAGACGAACGGAAGAUAAAACAUUUAGGCUGCUUGCCUUUCAAAUUUUAAAGAAACAUUUUUGGCAUUUAUCAGUGCUGUUAUAGAAAACCAAUUGAUUGGGUUCUUUGAGAUCUUAUAUUAAGAACUGUUCUCAUCUUGUAAGCUUAAAGAAUUGAUGUUUACCACUAAUAAAUCCUAAAUUAAAUAGAAA
Cloeon dipterum is the source of this 1079-nucleotide RNA transcript. RefSeq lists it as uncharacterized. The transcript is spliced from 3 exons. The record is from RefSeq and is a predicted model, not a curated record. Lineage: Eukaryota; Metazoa; Arthropoda; Insecta; Ephemeroptera; Baetidae.